RNAcentral lists this ribosomal RNA (301 nucleotides) under uncultured bacterium. Its description in RNAcentral is "partial 16S ribosomal RNA". It matches the Rfam family "Bacterial small subunit ribosomal RNA", at positions 509 to 809 of the family's 1533-position model. The record is from RNAcentral.
CAGCAGCCACGGUAAUACGAAGGGGGCUAGCGUUGUUCGGAUUUACUGGGCGUAAAGGGCGCGUAGGCGGACUGAUAAGUCAGGGGUGAAAUCCCAAGGCUCAACCUUGGAACUGCCUUUGAUACUGUUUGUCUUGAGUUCGAGAGAGGUAAGUGGAACUGCGGGUGUAGAGGUGAAAUUCGUAGAUAUUCGCAAGAACACCAGUGGCGAAGGCGGCUUACUGGCUCGAAACUGACGCUGAGGCGCGAAAGCGUGGGGAGCAAACAGGAUUAGAUACCCGUGUAGUCCCUGUCUCUUAUAA